RNAcentral lists this ribosomal RNA (393 nucleotides) under uncultured bacterium. Its description in RNAcentral is "partial 16S ribosomal RNA". It matches the Rfam family "Bacterial small subunit ribosomal RNA", at positions 523 to 918 of the family's 1533-position model. The record is from RNAcentral.
AUACGGAGGACGCGAGCGUUAUCCGGAUUUACUGGGCGUAAAGGGCGUGUAGGCGGUCUUGCAAGUCAGAAGUGAAAUUCCUGAGCUCAACUCGGGCGCUGCUUCUGAAACUACAGGACUUGAGUGCUGGAGGGGAUAGCGGAAUUUCUAGUGGAGCGGUAAAAUGCGCAGAUAUUAGGAAGAACGCCGAUAGCGGAGGCAGCUCGCCAGGCCUGCAUUGACGCUCGGGCACGAAAGCGUGGGGAUCGAACAGGAUUAGAUACCCUGGUAGUCCACGCCGUAAACGAUGGGCGCUCGUCGUCGGCGGCAGACAGUCGGCGGCCAAGCGAAAGCGAUAAGCGCCCCACCUGGGGAGUACGGUCGCAAGGCUGAAACUCAAAUGAAUGGACGGGG